GAUGAACGCUGGCGGCGUGCCUAAUACAUGCAAGUCGAGCGAACAGACGAGGAGCUUGCUCCUCUGACGUUAGCGGCGGACGGGUGAGUAACACGUGUAAACCGCCCUUGAAUGUGGGGUAAAAUUUGGGAAAACGGGAUAAAACCCGGUAGAAGAUAUUGAUCCGUGGGGUGGAUUGGUAAAAUUCGGUUUUUUGGUAUGGAAUAGCGGGUUCCCGGCUGCUUUAGCUAGUUGUUAAGGUAACGGCUUACGAAGGGGAGGAGGCGUAGCCGACCGGAGAGGGUGAUCGCCCACCCUGGAGCUGAGACACGGUCCAGACUCCUACGGGAGGCAGCAGUAGGGAAUCUUCCGCAGUGGGCGAAAGCCUGACGGAGCAACGCCGCGUGAGUGAUGAAGGUCUUCGGAUCGUAAAACUCUGUUAUUAGGGAAGAACAAAUGUGUAAGUAACUAAGCACGUCUUGACGGUAACUAAUCAGAAAGCAACGGCUAACUACGUG
RNAcentral lists this ribosomal RNA (497 nucleotides) under uncultured bacterium. Its description in RNAcentral is "partial 16S ribosomal RNA". It matches the Rfam family "Bacterial small subunit ribosomal RNA", at positions 28 to 507 of the family's 1533-position model. The record is from RNAcentral.